UGAAUAGUGACUGAGAAGCAGCAGGCUACAGUUCUUUUCCUCUGAAGAAUUUAGUGUGAGAUUUUUCUUUUCCAAUGUAAGAGCAUCCAGAAUGAAGAGUCUGUUGUAUUCAUACCCAGGACAUUUGCUGGAAAGACCAAUGAAUGACUGGCUAGGAAGAAGGUUGCUGGAAAAUAAGGACACUAUCACAGAAUGUUUAAGGGCACCUUACUACCUCCAAAUUGAGUUGGUAGGACAAUAUCUCAAAAUGUCAGAGGUAUCCAAACAACAACCAGCUGAAGUAAUCACCUCUUGUCUGAUGGAGACUUGUUGGCACAGAUAA
This 322-nucleotide long non-coding RNA is filed under the name Anser brachyrhynchus (Pink-footed goose). RNAcentral's name for it is "lncRNA (ENSABRG00000013341.1)". Lineage: Eukaryota; Metazoa; Chordata; Aves; Anseriformes; Anatidae. The record is from RNAcentral.